This 300-nucleotide ribosomal RNA is filed under the name Bacillus paramycoides. Its description in RNAcentral is "bacterial SSU rRNA". It matches the Rfam family "Bacterial small subunit ribosomal RNA", at positions 67 to 355 of the family's 1533-position model. Lineage: Bacteria; Bacillati; Bacillota; Bacilli; Caryophanales; Bacillaceae. The record is from RNAcentral.
CGAAUGGAUUAAGAGCUUGCUCUUAUGAAGUUAGCGGCGGACGGGUGAGUAACACGUGGGUAACCUGCCCAUAAGACUGGGAUAACUCCGGGAAACCGGGGCUAAUACCGGAUAACAUUUUGAACCGCAUGGUUCGAAAUUGAAAGGCGGCUUCGGCUGUCACUUAUGGAUGGACCCGCGUCGCAUUAGCUAGUUGGUGAGGUAACGGCUCACCAAGGCAACGAUGCGUAGCCGACCUGAGAGGGUGAUCGGCCACACUGGGACUGAGACACGGCCCAGACUCCUACGGGAGGCAGCAGU